UACGGAGGGUGCAAGCGUUAUCCGGAUUUACUGGGCUUAAAGGGUGCGUAGGCGGGCAAGUAAGUCAGUGGUGAAAUCUUCGAGCUUAACUCGGAAACUGCCAUUGAUACUAUUUAUCUUGAAUACUUUGGAGGUAAGCGGAAUAUAUCAUGUAGCGGUGAAAUGCUUAGAUAUGACAUAGAACACCAAUUGCGAAGGCAGCUUACUAGACAGUUAUUGACACUGAGGCACGAAAGCGUGGGGAGCAAACGGG
This 253-nucleotide ribosomal RNA is filed under the name uncultured bacterium. RNAcentral describes it as "partial 16S ribosomal RNA". It matches the Rfam family "Bacterial small subunit ribosomal RNA", at positions 524 to 776 of the family's 1533-position model. The record is from RNAcentral.